This 31-nucleotide non-coding RNA is filed under the name Rattus norvegicus (Norway rat). The record is from RNAcentral. Lineage: Eukaryota; Metazoa; Chordata; Mammalia; Rodentia; Muridae.
UGAGGUCUCAUAUGCUCAAGGGCCAUCAGGC